Molecule: long non-coding RNA, 445 nt
Filed under: Carica papaya (papaya)
Lineage: Eukaryota; Viridiplantae; Streptophyta; Magnoliopsida; Brassicales; Caricaceae
Description: long non-coding RNA (CPAP_LNC000138)
Source: RNAcentral
GACUGUCUGACCCACUAAGUAGCCACCCUAAUAAACGACUCCCAUUUACCCCAACCCCUACUCUACCUCCACUUACUGGACAACCUGCUAGGAUUGUGGUUGCUCGCAUGGUAAUCUACCUUGUCGGCGUAGUAAUCACGCCUGCUAUCAUUAUGGAAGCACCCAACACUUUAUAAAGGACUGCCCUCAGCGGCCGAAGAAUGUGGCCAAACCUGUAACCCAGGGUCAUGUGUAUCACCUUGAUGAACUUGGUGCCCAGCCCACUCCUAUCCUUAUCCAAGGUAUUCUUUCUAUCCGUGACACUUCUGCCCGAGCUCUGAUCGACAUAGGUGCUACCCACUCUUUUAUUUAUUGUGCAUUUGCUUGAUCCUCUUAUGUAUUUCAUUCUCAGUGUUUACAACUUUCUGGAAGUCUUUUCGAAAGAACUACUUGGUCUACCUCCCCU